AUUGAACGCUGGCGGCAUGCUUUACACAUGCAAGUCGAACGGCAGCGCGGGCUUCGGCCUGGCGGCGAGUGGCGAACGGGUGAGUAAUGCAUCGGAACGUGCCCAGUAGUGGGGGAUAGCCCGGCGAAAGCCGGAUUAAUACCGCAUACGACCUGAGGGUGAAAGCGGGGGACCGAAAGGCCUCGCGCUAUUGGAGCGGCCGAUGUCGGAUUAGCUAGUUGGUGGGGUAAAGGCUUACCAAGGCGACGAUCCGUAGCUGGUCUGAGAGGACGACCAGCCACACGGGAACUGGAAAACGGCCAAGACCCCUAGGGGGGGCAGAGGUGGGGAAUUUGGGAAAAGGGGGGCAAACCGGAUCCAGCCAGGCGGGGUGGGGAAAAAAGGCCUUGGGGUGGAAAACCGUUUUUGUUGGGAAAAAAACCCUGGGGGUUAAAACCCCGGGGGGAGAACGGUACCGGAAAAAAAAACACCGGUAAACUAGGU
Molecule: ribosomal RNA, 483 nt
Filed under: uncultured bacterium
Lineage: Bacteria
Description: partial 16S ribosomal RNA
Rfam family: Bacterial small subunit ribosomal RNA
Source: RNAcentral